UACGGAGGAUGCGGGCGUUAUCCGGAUUUAUUGGGUUUAAAGGGUGCGUAGGCGGACGCUUAAGUCAGCGGUAAAAUUGCGGGGCUCAACCUCGUCGAGCCGUUGAAACUGGGUGCCUUGAGUGGGCGAGAAGUACGCGGAAUGCGUGGUGUAGCGGUGAAAUGCAUAGAUAUCACGCAGAACUCCGAUUGCGAAGGCAGCGUACCGGCGCCCAACUGACGCUGAAGCACGAAGGCGUGGGUAUCGAACAGG
This 252-nucleotide ribosomal RNA is filed under the name uncultured bacterium. Its description in RNAcentral is "partial 16S ribosomal RNA". It matches the Rfam family "Bacterial small subunit ribosomal RNA", at positions 524 to 776 of the family's 1533-position model. The record is from RNAcentral.